This 585-nucleotide ribosomal RNA is filed under the name uncultured bacterium. Its description in RNAcentral is "bacterial SSU rRNA". It matches the Rfam family "Bacterial small subunit ribosomal RNA", at positions 338 to 916 of the family's 1533-position model. The record is from RNAcentral.
CCUACGGGAGGCAGCAGUGGGGAAUUUUGGACAAUGGGCGCAAGCCUGAUCCAGCAAUGCCGCGUGAGUGAAGAAGGCCUUCGGGUUGUAAAGCUCUUUUGUCAGGGAAGAAACGGUGGGAGCUAAUAUCUCCCGCUAAUGACGGUACCUGAAGAAUAAGCACCGGCUAACUACGUGCCAGCAGCCGCGGUAAUACGUAGGGUGCAAGCGUUAAUCGGAAUUACUGGGCGUAAAGCGUGCGCAGGCGGUUUUGUAAGUCUGUCGUGAAAGCCCCGGGCUCAACCUGGGAAUUGCGAUGGAGACUGCAAGGCUUGAAUCUGGCAGAGGGGGGUAGAAUUCCACGUGUAGCAGUGAAAUGCGUAGAGAUGUGGAGGAACACCGAUGGCGAAGGCAGCCCCCUGGGUCAAGAUUGACGCUCAUGCACGAAAGCGUGGGGAGCAAACAGGAUUAGAUACCCUGGUAGUCCACGCCCUAAACGAUGUCUACUAGUUGUCGGGUUUUAAUUAACUUGGUAACGCAGCUAACGCGUGAAGUAGACCGCCUGGGGAGUACGGUCGCAAGAUUAAAACUCAAAGGAAUUGACGG